Long non-coding RNA from Piliocolobus tephrosceles (Ugandan red Colobus), 884 nucleotides. RefSeq lists it as uncharacterized. Lineage: Eukaryota; Metazoa; Chordata; Mammalia; Primates; Cercopithecidae. The record is from RefSeq and is a predicted model, not a curated record. The transcript has 3 exons.
CCACCUCCCCAAGCCCAAAUGGCCAUGCAGGUCAAACACCAGCUCUGAAGUGAGCAGGGCCCCCAGGGAGGACGGCCACCAGAGGUCAGGGCAGUAUCCCUGCUGGCACCUGCCCCUUUGUGCAGCGGCAAUCAGGGACCUCAGGAAUCAGCUAAACUCACAAUGCAGUUACUGAAAGAAAUGUGCUCCUUGGGGGCCAGCGAAACUCAGUGGCCCAAGGAAGGCCACUUAUGUCCACUUCAUAGCCAGCUGCAAAUUUUGGCAAACAGACUUUGCUUCUCGUCACUCAGCCCACCUGACCAGGUUCAGACACAGUCUGCAGCUGCCUGGCUCGCACCCCUGACUCUGCAGCAGGGUAUGUGGGGAGCUCAGGGCACAGCAGGCCAGGCUUCCCCAUGGACAUCCAGGAACCUGAACCAAACUGCCCAGGGCCCCAAAGGGAAAGACGUCUCAGCAGACGGACAGCCAAGGCUCACACCGCAAGCUCUGGCAGCCUGUCCGUCCCAGGAGAGGGGGCAGAUGGCAGACAGGAAAAGACACCACCUGCUGGGAUGCUGAGACUCGCUCGCAGGAGCUUUUAGAACUGGCUGAGGUCAGCUGGAACCAACGUGGCCAGCUGGAGUCUGCACGGCCCAAUCUUGCUGACGCCACAGCCCGAGUUUCCACCCCGGGGUCCCGGUAACUCCGCCCAGAUGUGCACACGAGACCCAUGAGCAGACACAACUUUCCAGACCCCCCUUUUCUUCCACCAGCCACCUACUAAUCCACGAACCCCCCUGAACCUUCCCCAAUAGAAACACUGCAUUAAAGCCAGCGCGGGGGGACGGACGUGAACUGGGCCCUGUCUCCCUGUGGGUUGGCCCAGAAGAAAAGCUUUUCUUCUC